CACCGCCUGGGGAGUACGACCGCAAGGUUAAAACUCAAAUGAAUUGACGGGGACCCGCACAAGUAGUGGAGCAUGUGGUUUAAUUCGAAGAUACGCGCAGAACCUUACCAACACUUGACAUGUUCGUCGCGACUUUAAGAGAUUAAAGUUUUCGGUUCGGCCGGACGAAACACAGGUGCUGCAUGGCUGUCGUCAGCUCGUGUCGUGAGAUGUUGGGUUAAGUCCCGCAACGAGCGCAACCCUCACUUUUAGUUGCCAUCAUUUAGUUGGGCACUCUGAAAGAACUGCCGGUGAUAAGCUGGAGGAAGGUGGGGAUGACGUCAAGUCCUCAUGGCCCUUACGUGUUGGGCUACACACGUGCUACAAUGGCAUAUACAACAGGAAGCGAGAUGGCGACAUCAAGCAAAUCCUAAAAAGAUGCCUCAGUUCGGAUUGUACUCUGCAACUCGAGUACAUGAAGCUGGAAUUACUAGUAAUCGCGGAUCAGCGUGCCGCGGUGAAUACGUUCCCGGGUCUUGUACACACCGCCCGUCACACCAUGGGAGUUGGUUCUACCUUAAGGCAAGGUUUAAAAACCUUGACCACGGUAUAGUCAGCGACUGGGGUGAAGUCGUAACAAGGUAGCCGUAGGGGAACCUGCGGCUGGAUUACCUCCUUUCUAAGGAUGAUUAAGGAUUAUUUCUUAAUCUAAAAAAUAUAACAGGCUAAUGUUGACCGUCCUCAUUUCUCUUCUUGAAUUAGUGUUUCUCUUCUUCUGCAUAAGGGCCGGUAGCUCAGUUGGUUAGAGCACACCCUUGAUAAGGGUGGGGUCGAAAGUUCGAGUCUUUCUCGGCCCACCAAAAUAAACUGGGGGAUUAGCUCAGCUGGGAGAGCGCCUGAUUUGCAUUCAGGAGGUCAGCGGUUCGAUCCCGCUAUCCUCCACCAAGAAACACUUAGUUAUUUCAUUUGUGAAUAUUUUUAAUUAUUAUCAAUAUCUAUAUCCGAUUGUUCGAAUAGAAGAACAAUCAAUGAAUGUUUAAAUAAAUGAACAUUCCAAAAAUUUGAUUCAACACAGAAUUUUUUUCUG
RNAcentral lists this small RNA (1066 nucleotides) under uncultured Pelagibacterales bacterium. RNAcentral describes it as "bacterial SSU rRNA". The stretch from base 1 to 658 matches the Rfam family "Bacterial small subunit ribosomal RNA", at positions 867 to 1533 of the family's 1533-position model. The record is from RNAcentral. Lineage: Bacteria; Pseudomonadati; Pseudomonadota; Alphaproteobacteria; Candidatus Pelagibacterales.